RNAcentral lists this long non-coding RNA (345 nucleotides) under Manihot esculenta (cassava). RNAcentral describes it as "long non-coding RNA (MESC_LNC002369)". Lineage: Eukaryota; Viridiplantae; Streptophyta; Magnoliopsida; Malpighiales; Euphorbiaceae. The record is from RNAcentral.
AUUGCCAUUAUUAACAAGUCAGUCCCUGUAUUUUUAGAAACCUAUUAAAACGUCCUUAUAUUUUAUUUCCGUCAACAAAAUAGUCCUUCCGUCCUAUUUUCCGUUAAAAUUAGACAAAGGAAGAGAGAGAAAAUUUUUAAAAUCCAAUUUUACCCUCAAAUAAAACCAUUUAUUUAGUCCUUGUAUAUUAUAAUUAUUAACAAGUUAGUCCUUACAUUUUCAAAAAUCUAUUAAAAUAUUUUUAUCUUUUUUCAUAUCUAUUAAAACGUCCUUAUUAUUUUUUUCCAUCAAUGAAAUAGUCCCUAUCUUUUCUCACAUCUAUUAAAACAUCCUUAUCGUUUAUUU